Anopheles gambiae (African malaria mosquito) is the source of this 1344-nucleotide long non-coding RNA. RefSeq lists it as uncharacterized. The transcript is spliced from 2 exons. The record is from RefSeq and is a predicted model, not a curated record. NCBI's taxonomy places the organism in Eukaryota, Metazoa, Arthropoda, Insecta, Diptera, Culicidae.
GUAGCCUUAAGAAACUCUAUUUGAUUAUUAACAGUUUCUUAAAGCCGUUAAAAAUCAAAUAGAGUUUCUUAAGGGAAUAUGACAUUUGCUUGCGUUACAGCAUAACGACAUGUUCCGUUACCUUGUUAUUUUUGACUCAGACCAAUAUAACUGACAGUGUUAUUCAAAUUUUGUCAACACUAUGUAGUUUCUAUGUAGUUUAAGCAGGGUUUAAAAACCAUUUUAUUUUUAAUAUUUAUUUAAUUAAGCACUCUGAUUUUAAUUGCAAAACAUUUCAUUAUUUUAAUCACAUGUUUAAUAUUUGAUUUCAGUUUAUCUUCAUUUGAUAUGACAAUUAAAAAGAAAAUAGAAAAAAUAUUUUGUUUAAUUUUGAUGGAGAUUUUCGACGUAUUAACACAUCGCAUACCAUUUUCCAAACGAAAAAUAUAUUAUAUUUAAAAUCAUUAAAUUAUUUGAUUUAAUUAAUUUGCUCUUGAUGAACAUACUUUUUGAGACAUACUGUAUGUGCUGCGCCGCCAUUCAUAAUGUCAAAAAGUUCGUCAAGCUUCGUGUGUGAUGAAAGGCGACAAGAAAAGCAAGCAGCCGCAAAUUUUACAGCUUCUAAUUUGUAUAUUAUCAAGCUUGUACAACAGCAUUUAAACUCGGUGGUAGAGUUCCGCCCGCUCCAUCAAAUACAGAGAAUGACGCCGUCCAAUAUUGUUCCUGCCUCGCGGUCGUGCACUACCGUCAGCACUGCACUAGCCGCAACAAAACAUGCACCCCUUGUCCCACAUUUCCAUAAUCUCGACGGUGGUCAACAGCUGUACGACGGCCGCCUACAGCCACCGGGAUAGCCUCGCUCUCUAGUGCGAUACUGAUGAACCUGCGGCGCAAGAGCACGCAAGCGUUUGGUGGCGGCGGCUGUGGAAUGAUGGUGCACCUCGGUAAAUAUGGUGCACGAGAAGAAUUCUUCCCGCAAAAGGCAUCCGCUUGGGCACUGAAAUCGAACGACGCCUACGGAGACAGUAACAACAACAACCAUCCGGACAGGAGACGGAUCUCAGUCGGUUGUAUGAAAACAGCAAGGUGCACUAGAUCGUGAAACACUGGCCGUCCAGUACGACACAGGCCUUAUCAGCAGAUAGCAUGGAAAUGCCGCGUACAAUGAGGCCGCACCGUGACGCCCCGCGCUGUAGCCCUCGUUUACGCACCGAAGUUAAGCAGUUCCAUCGGGAUGUCUUCACCGCGCCGGAUCAUUUGCGGGACGAUAGCGACAAAUGUCCCGCCGUAGGAUCCAACCAAUAUGGUGGAUAAUUAAUAUAAAAAAUACAAAUUACAUUAAUUUAAUUCAUAAAAAAAUGAAAA